This 52-nucleotide non-coding RNA is filed under the name unclassified sequences. The record is from RNAcentral.
CGGGGCCCUCGACGGUCGCCCCGUUCUUCCAGGCUUCGGGCCCAAGCACCGU